AGUGAACGCUGGCGGCAGGCCUAACACAUGCAAGUCGAGCGGCAGCGGGUUCCCGCGAGGGGAUGCCGGCGAGCGGCGGACGGGUGAGGAACACAUCGGAAUCUGCCUGGUUGUGGGGGAUAACGUAGGGAAACUUACGCUAAUACCGCAUGCGACCCUGAGUCGACGGACUGGGGGUGGAAAGUGAGGGACCUUCGGGCCGUCACGCGACCAGAUGAGCCGAUGUCGGAUUAGCUAGUUGGC
Molecule: ribosomal RNA, 243 nt
Filed under: uncultured bacterium
Lineage: Bacteria
Description: partial 16S ribosomal RNA
Rfam family: Bacterial small subunit ribosomal RNA
Source: RNAcentral